This is a long non-coding RNA of Amphiprion ocellaris (clown anemonefish), 441 nucleotides long. Lineage: Eukaryota; Metazoa; Chordata; Actinopteri; Pomacentridae. The record is from Ensembl.
UGUGGAGCCCUGAAGAGAAUAAUGAAACACUAAACAGGCUGAACAGCAAAAAGAGCAGCCAAGUCAAUGAGCAGUCGGACGGAUUCCACAAACAUCUGCAGCAGAAGUCCAACCGAUGAGAAACAGCUGUGGAAGCAGACACCUGCACAACUACAGGUCUGCUGUUCAGGAAGUCCAGCACCCGACCUGACAGUAAACCGGCCAGAAUGAUGAGAGCUACUGCAGGAUUCAGACUCACCGGGGUCGAGGUAUUUGCCCAGGAACGUGGUGACAACUGAUCUGACACUUGGACCUACAGUUCCAGCCUCUGAGGUCUGAUAGAUGUAGCUCCACAGAAAUGGUUCUGUUAUUGAACACGACACUUGCCAGACAAAGGAGGUUUUUCCAUAUUAUUGGUGCUGGUUGUUGCACAUUCGUGACGUUUCUUAUUACAUCUCAGAU